Molecule: long non-coding RNA, 396 nt
Organism: Silurus meridionalis
Lineage: Eukaryota; Metazoa; Chordata; Actinopteri; Siluriformes; Siluridae
Exons: 4
Source: RefSeq, a predicted model, not a curated record
CAUCGUUGCAUUCAUCAUUAUUAUCAUCAUCAUCAUCAUCAUCAUCAUUGUAUGAGCCUGCUCCAGCUUCUCCUCCAGCAGUAUUUUCAGCUUCCACUGUGAUCACUGUAUCUGUAAUUCUGCUGUUACUUCUGAUUGGAAUCUCAGUCCUGCUUGUGAUUCUACAGAAAAGACAAAAGAUGAAAGGAGGUACAGCUGCUUCUCACAGGACUUCUGUCCAAAGUUCAGGGAACAACCAAGAGGUUCCUCCUGCUCUCUGUGAGUAUGAGGAGAUUAAAGACACCAGACGACUUUCUGCCUCAGACAAUGGAUUUUCCAUCAUUUACGCUACUCCUCAACUACACACAUUCCCUUCUGAGCUUCCUCAAACUGUUUAUGCAAAUACUGAGUUACCUG